This 545-nucleotide ribosomal RNA is filed under the name uncultured archaeon. RNAcentral describes it as "bacterial SSU rRNA". It matches the Rfam family "Archaeal small subunit ribosomal RNA", at positions 325 to 872 of the family's 1478-position model. The record is from RNAcentral.
ACGGGGCGCAGCAGGCGCGAAAACUUCACAAUGUGGGAAACCGCGAUGAGGGGAUUCCAAGUGCUUGCGUUUUGCGUAAGCUGUUCUUCUGCCUAAAAAGCAGGGGAAGUAAGGACUGGGUAAGACGGGUGCCAGCCGCCGCGGUAAUACCCGCAGCCCGAGUGGUGGUCGAUAUUAUUGAGCUUAAAGCGUCCGUAGCCUGUCUGGUAAAUUCUUGGGUAAAUCGUGCAGCUUAACUGUUCGAAUUCCGGGGAGACUGCCAGACUUGGGACCGGGAGAGGUUGGAGGUACUCCUGGGGUAGGGGUAAAAUCCCGUAAUCCUGGGAGGACCACCAGUGGCGAAGGCGUCCAACUGGAACGGAUCCGACGGUCAGGGACGAAGCCCUGGGUCGCGAACUGGAUUAGAUACCCAGGUAGUCCAGGGUGUAAACGCUGCAGACUUGGUGUCGGAGGUCCUACGAGGGCGUCCGGUGCCGGAGAGAAAUUGUUAAGUCUGCCGCUUGGGGAGUACGUCCGCAAGGAUGAAACUUAAAGGAAUUGGCGGG